RNAcentral lists this ribosomal RNA (200 nucleotides) under uncultured bacterium. RNAcentral describes it as "partial 16S ribosomal RNA". It matches the Rfam family "Bacterial small subunit ribosomal RNA", at positions 8 to 203 of the family's 1533-position model. The record is from RNAcentral.
AGAGUUUGAUCCUGGCUCAGGACAAACGCUGGCGGCGUGCGUAACACAUGCAAGUCGGACGAGGUGUGGUGCCUUCGGGUGCCAGAUCGAGUGGCGGACGGGUGAGUAACACGUGGAUAACCUACCCGGAUGUGGGGGAUACCCUGUAGAAAUACGGGCUAAUACCGCAUGAGGUGAUGUUGGGGGAGCCCAAGAUCAAC